RNAcentral lists this small nuclear RNA (149 nucleotides) under Vicugna pacos (alpaca). RNAcentral describes it as "U1 spliceosomal RNA (ENSVPAG00000015559.1)". It matches the Rfam family "U1 spliceosomal RNA". From Rfam's summary of the family: U1 is a small nuclear RNA (snRNA) component of the spliceosome (involved in pre-mRNA splicing). Its 5' end forms complementary base pairs with the 5' splice junction, thus defining the 5' donor site of an intron. Lineage: Eukaryota; Metazoa; Chordata; Mammalia; Artiodactyla; Camelidae. The record is from RNAcentral.
AUACUUACCUGGCAGAGGAGGUACCAUGAUCACGAAGGUGGUGUUCCCAGGGUGAGGCUUAUCCAUUGCACUCCUGCGAUUUCCCCAAAUGUGGGAAACUCGACUGUGUAAUUUGUGGUAGUGGGGUACUGCAUUUGUCCUUCCCCAUC